Molecule: long non-coding RNA, 452 nt
Filed under: Homo sapiens (human)
Lineage: Eukaryota; Metazoa; Chordata; Mammalia; Primates; Hominidae
Description: non-protein coding lnc-FCN2-4:1
Source: RNAcentral
GCUGUGGUUUUGGUUUUGAUUAUUCCGUUAAUGCUGAGUCUGUUUCACAAACGAGAUUAGCAGAAUUAAUUAUUGAAGAUGCAGUAUGCUUUAUGGUUUUAAUAACACUGUUAAAAACUAAACAAGGAAGUUAAAUAUGUUGAUGAUUAUCGGUGACUGCUCACCACACAGCAUCCCUCAGGCCGAGUCAGUUGGCCCAGUGACUCCCACAUCACAAACUGCCCUUUCUUGGUCAGAAGAAGCAGAGUGGAGCCUUCUCAUCCCCACGCGCGCAGCUGUGGGGCCCCGUGGUCACCUGGCCACAUGGGAGUUUGCAUACUGAGUGGUUCAUCUUUUCCAAUGUGUUGUGUCCUUUAAUUUACAUUUAUAUUUCAUUGCCCUUUCUAAUGAUCAGAACAGCACAUCUUGUUAUAGAAAAUUAGGAAAAUAAAUAAAAUUACAGUAAAAUUAUA